This 74-nucleotide transfer RNA is filed under the name Caerostris extrusa. RNAcentral describes it as "tRNA-Val". It matches the Rfam family "tRNA". From Rfam's summary of the family: Transfer RNA (tRNA) molecules are approximately 80 nucleotides in length. Their secondary structure includes four short double-helical elements and three loops (D, anti-codon, and T loops). Lineage: Eukaryota; Metazoa; Arthropoda; Arachnida; Araneae; Araneidae. The record is from RNAcentral.
UGGUUCGUAGUGUAGUGGUUAUCACGUUCGCUUUACACGCGAAAGGUCCCCGGUUCGAUCCCGGGCGGAACCAA